Molecule: ribosomal RNA, 260 nt
Filed under: uncultured bacterium
Lineage: Bacteria
Description: partial 16S ribosomal RNA
Rfam family: Bacterial small subunit ribosomal RNA
Source: RNAcentral
GGCAGGUACAGAGGGAUGCUACCGGGCGACCGGAUGCGGAUCUCGAAAGCCUGUCCCAGUUCGGACUGGAGUCUGCAACCCGACUCCACGAAGUUGGAUUCGCUAGUAAUCGCGCAUCAGCCAUGGCGCGGUGAAUACGUUCCCGGGCCUUGUACACACCGCCCGUCAAGCCAUGGAAGCCGGGAGUGCCUGAAGUGUGCAACCGCAAGGAGCGCCCUAAGGUAAAACUGGUGACUGGGGCUAAGUCGUAACAAGGUACC